RNAcentral lists this ribosomal RNA (460 nucleotides) under uncultured bacterium. RNAcentral describes it as "partial 16S ribosomal RNA". It matches the Rfam family "Bacterial small subunit ribosomal RNA", at positions 338 to 795 of the family's 1533-position model. The record is from RNAcentral.
CCUACGUGUGGCAGCAGUGAGGAAUAUUGGUCAAUGGGCGAGAGCCUGAACCAGCCAAGUCGCGUGAAGGAUGACGGCCCUACGGGUUGUAAACUUCUUUUGUCAGGGAGCAAUUUAUUCCACGUUUGGGCUUAGCGAGAGUACCUGCAGACAAAGCCUCGGCUAACUCCUUUCCAGCAGCCGCGGUAAUACGGAGGAUGCGAGCGUUAUCCGGAUUUAUUGGGUUUAAAGGGUGCGUAGGCGGAAUAUCAAGUUAGCGGUAAAAAUUCGGGGCUCAACCCCGUCGUGCCGUUGAAACUGAUGUUAUGGAGUGGGCGAGAAGUAUGCGGAAGGCGUGGUGUAGCGGUGAAAUGCAUAGAGAUCACGCAGAACUCCGAUUGCGAAGGCAGCAUACCGGAGCCCAACUGACGCUGAAGCACGAAAGCGUGGGUAUCGAACAGGAUUAGAUACCCCAGUAGUC